UUUCCGUAGGUGAACCUGCGGAAGGAUCAUUCAUAAUAAGUGUUUUAUGGCACUUUUUUAAAUCCAUAUCCACCUUGUGUGCAAUGUCAGGGUUGAUUUCUCUCUCAAGAGGAUCAGCCCCAAACAUCAACUAUAUCUCGACUCUUUGUCUGAAAAAUAUUAUGAAUAAAACAAUUCAAAAUACAACUUUCAACAACGGAUCUCUUGGCUCUC
This 213-nucleotide unclassified non-coding RNA is filed under the name plant metagenome. Its description in RNAcentral is "partial contains small subunit ribosomal RNA, internal transcribed spacer 1, and 5.8S ribosomal RNA". The record is from RNAcentral.